AUGCCGCGCCGCUCCUCCUCCCCGCCGUCGAGGGCCAGCGGGGCCGCCUCCGCCCGCCGUCGGCAGCCCCCGCCGUCGGGCCCCGGCUCCGCGAGCUGUAGGCACCCCCCGCCGUCGGCCGCCUCUGCGCGCCAGUCCCCGCCGUCGGGGGCCAGCGGGGCCGCCUCCGCGCGCCGUGGGCACCCCCCGCCGCCACUCCCCGCAGCCCAGAGCGUUCCCGCCCGGCGCCGAGGUACGGGUGCUCGCCGGGGCGCGUACCGCAGCCAGCCCGCCUCCCCCGCGUCCGAGCAGCCGCCUCCGUCCCGGCGGCCGGAGGGCGUGGCCGAGCUCCGCCGCCUCGGCAAGUCCUACUCCGAGGCCGUCGACUCCGCGCAGCUCCUCGCCCCCGCCAGGUACAACCUUGGUCCGCCAUGUCCGCCGCCUCAUAUACAGAUUCUCCCAGAUGACCUCCUUGUGGAGAUUCUCAUGCGCCUUCCGCCUGAGCCUAUCUAUCUUUUCCGUGCUUCUCAUGUCUGCAAGCACUGGCGCAGCCUCAUCCACGACGCCCGCUUCCUUUGCCGCUUCCACGAGUUCCACCGGGGGACUCCUCCCGUGCUCGGCUUCUUCAGCAACCAGCCAUCGUUUCCCUUCUUCGUUUCCAUCACCAACACCUUCGCGGGCUCCGCUGUUGGCAAGAUUGACCACGACUAUUUGUCGGUCUUGGACUGUCGCCACGGUCGUGCCCUCCUGAAAUGUAAGUGCUGCAAUGAGCUGCUCGUCUUGGACCUUGUGACCGGUGACACGAUCUGGCUGCCGUAUCCCACGCAGCUCCCCAAGCAGGCCACAUACAAUGGCGCGGUUCUCUGCGUUGCUGGCCACGACAACUGUCAUUCGUGCCCGGUCCUUGUGGUGCUAGUGUUCAGUAACAAGGUUGAUUUCAUCACCGCAGGCUGCGUGUACUCGUCCGAGACUGGCGUCUGGGGUGAGAUCACUUCGAUUCAUAUGCCUGAUUCAUUUGUCGUCCCAUUGCCGACGGUUCUGGUUGGAAACACACUGUACUGGCUGUUGGACAACGAUCACAUCAUUCAGUUUGAUUUGGAUAAGCAUAGAUUGGAUUUAAUUGAGGAGGUGCCACAUAGCUACUGUAAGCAGGUUAUCAUCAUGCCCGCGGAGGAUGGACUUGUUGGUUUUGCUGGGGUUGAUGGUUCGAGUCUCCAUUUGUGGUCAAGGGUAGGUAGCAUUGAUGGGGGGGUACCAUGGACACGUCGCAUCAUUGACUUCGAAGAGCUUCUUGGGCCGGAAACAUCGCUUUGUCAUCCGUUGCUUGUUGGCUAUGCGGAAGAUGCUGAUGUGAUCUUCAUUUGUGCGGAUACUAGCGUCUACAUGAUCCAUCUCAAGUCCAUGGUGAAGAUUGAGCGGUGGAAUGAACUUGAUAUUGUGUUUCCCAUUUUUCCUUACACAAGAUUCUACUCUCCAGUAAAAGCUCUUGGCGCCUACUGCCUGGCCGCAGAGCCAUCUUCUUUCUCGGCGGUGCCCUCCCUCGCCUACUCGGAGAACGCCGUCCAUGGUGAUGAACGUGAGGACGGCCUGCUCGAGAUUGUCCUGGUCGGUCUAUGCCCCAAAACCAUGGCGGAUCCACAAAAGCCAGACUAUGUUUUCUCAGCACACACCAUUGGUUUCAACCCAAGCCAGGGACUGCAUGGCUGA
RNAcentral lists this ribosomal RNA (1686 nucleotides) under Triticum aestivum (bread wheat). RNAcentral's name for it is "partial small subunit ribosomal RNA". The record is from RNAcentral. Lineage: Eukaryota; Viridiplantae; Streptophyta; Magnoliopsida; Poales; Poaceae.